CGCUACAACGGCUUCCUGACGUGGCGACUUUUUAUAAUCGGAGCG
This 45-nucleotide non-coding RNA is filed under the name unclassified sequences. RNAcentral describes it as "SAM-SAH-Weickhmann-2018 RNA". It matches the Rfam family "SAM/SAH riboswitch aptamer". The record is from RNAcentral.